Molecule: long non-coding RNA, 2040 nt
Organism: Octopus sinensis (East Asian common octopus)
Lineage: Eukaryota; Metazoa; Mollusca; Cephalopoda; Octopoda; Octopodidae
Exons: 10
Source: RefSeq, a predicted model, not a curated record
AAGCAAAACGCCUCAAAAAGCAUUCAUGAGAAGCGUUGAAUGUUGUUUGUAGAGAAAGAGGUCAAUUUAAGAGGUGGAGGUGGCGGUGAUGGAGUUGACGUCAUCUGAGAGAGAAAGAAAGAAAGUGUAAUUGGGGGGUGGGGAGAGAAAUAUAACAUUCAGUUUGUGAGAUUAGUUUCCUUAUGUAAACGACUAACACACACACACACACACACAUAUAUAUAUACACUACAACAUAUACAUACUGCAGCAUAAACACACAAACACACGUACACACACUAAAACAUAGAACCACAUACAUGAGGACAUAAUCGCCACCCGUGUAUAGUAUAUAAUAAACUUCACAGAAGCUUUUGCCUAGUUAAAGAACUGGAUUUGCAAAGACGGGACUCUCUCCUGAGACAGAAGAACUUCAGACUGAAAUUGAAACCUGAUUAUAACUCUGGGUCUUGUAAUGAAGACACAACCUCGAAUAAUGGUAUUUUCCAUUGGCCAGUGACGAAAAUAGGAAGCAAUGCGACGAUUCCAUGCCAUGAAAAUGUAGCAACGAGACUCUGUUCUUCCAGGACGGUGAAGCAUCCAGAAAUGGCAUCAAGCCAAUCUAGGACAUCACUAAAAUGUUCACCAUUUACUGGUAUCUGGCAAGAACCAGACAUGUCACAAUGUUACAAUACAGAGUGGAUCACUCGACGACUAAAAGACAUCAGAAGCCAAGACAUUGAUCAAAGGAAUAUCGGCAAUAUUUCGAAAGAGGUCUUGAAUGUUUCGCAGAAAUCAGUGUAUUUCAAACAACAAGAUAUUGCCUUGGCUGUAGAUAUUCUCGAGAAAAUGGUGCCAUUGAACGCAUCAGCUGACACAAGACUGAAAAUUAUACGUGGCGUAAACAAUAUGAUAAACACACCAGAGGUUUUGGCUGAGGCAGAACUAUCUAAUAGAAGUGUCAGCAGAAUGCUGGACAUUAUCAAAAUAUUGCCAGAAACAAUUCCACUGGAAGAGUAGCAAGUCAACGUUUCAUACUCGAAUCUUGGUAUCGGUGUUGCCAAAGUGAAUCAGGAUAGUUUCGAUGGUCAUUUUUAUGGCGUUUCCUACGGAACUAAUGAAACAGAAGCAAUCACACGGCUCUAUAACCACUCAUACUCUGACCAACAACAAGAUGAUAUACAGACACUUUCCUUUAUUUCCUUACCAAAGAGUUUACCAAAACAUCUGGAAGACGAACAAAGAUCAACCCUUGCAAGGGUAGUAUUUUACUCCAUGAGGAAUGAUAAGCUCUAUAGGGUAACACAAAACUCCAGUGCCAAAGGAAAUACUGAAAUUAACAGCCAUAUUAUUAGUGCCAGUAUCCCCAACGUUUCAAUAAGCAACCUUGAUGAACCAAUUAAUAUAUCCUUCAAUUUAAUAAACCAGAAUGCCGACAACCCAGAAUGUGUUUCCUGGGAGGAAACUUCAGGAGAGGAUCCUCAUUGGGCAACAAAAGGCUGUAAAAUAUCCGAUUAUGUACCUGGAAAGAAAGUAGUUUGUUCCUGCGACCAUCUUACAAGUUUUGCCUUAUUAAUGGAUGUCUACAGGAAUGAAGACGAUAGGAAAAAUGAUAAAUCCUUAUCUGUUAUAUCCAACAUUGGCUGUGGAUUAUCAUUUGUCUGUCUUAUUCUUACAGUAAUAAUUCACGUUUGUUUCAAGUAGAAGUUCUGGUAAUGAGAUAGAACAGCAGAAACCAAAUUCUAAUUGAGAAUCGAUAUAUAGAAUGUCUCCAAGAAAUAAAGAAUCCCUCCAAGAAUCGUCUUUCAUCAUAUUUUGCAUAAUAAAAUCCUAUUUUCACUUAUUAACAUUAAAUAUAUUUCUUGUAUAGAACAAUUCUUUCUACCUUUUCAUACAACCUUAUGCAACCGAGAGACUCUAAUCCACAAUACCUGAGACCCCCUUCGGUCACGACACAGACCAUGGGAUUGCACCUAGAAAGUUACACUCCCAGGCACAAGUCUGGGCAAGGUUGUUUAUGGGAGACCAGCAGUCGCCCAUGCAUACCGGCCUCCCCUCUCU